This 225-nucleotide long non-coding RNA is filed under the name Carica papaya (papaya). Its description in RNAcentral is "long non-coding RNA (CPAP_LNC014328)". Lineage: Eukaryota; Viridiplantae; Streptophyta; Magnoliopsida; Brassicales; Caricaceae. The record is from RNAcentral.
GACAACAUGGAAAUUAAGACCAUCAAAUUAGAUAUUUUCCUAUUCAGUACUCGAGCCUUUAUAUGGAAGGAGAGUAUUAACCUUGUACAUUCAGUUUUAUUUAGAUAUCAAAAUUAGAGCAGUGUAAUUGUGUUGGCUGUUAUGCUGGAAAUCAAACAAAGUGAUCGAUUAUUUUAUCACCAACUGCCCUACUUUUCCUCUCUUAAACAUGUUUCAACUUCCCUU